GCAGAUGUAGUUCAAUGGUAGAACACAGCCUUGCCAAGGCUGUCACGUGAGUCCGAUUCUCAUCAUCUGCUCCA
Molecule: transfer RNA, 74 nt
Filed under: Mycoplasmataceae bacterium
Lineage: Bacteria; Bacillati; Mycoplasmatota; Mollicutes; Mycoplasmatales; Mycoplasmataceae
Description: tRNA-Gly
Rfam family: tRNA
About the family: Transfer RNA (tRNA) molecules are approximately 80 nucleotides in length. Their secondary structure includes four short double-helical elements and three loops (D, anti-codon, and T loops).
Source: RNAcentral